CCUACGGGAGGCAGCAGUGAGGAAUAUUGGUCAAUGGGCGGGAGCCUGAACCAGCCAAGCCGCGUGAAGGAAGAAGGGACUUAGUAUUGUAAACUUCUUUUGUCGGGGAACAAAGGCGGAGACGCGUCUCCGGAUGAGUGUAUCCGAAGAAAAAGCAUCGGCUAACUCCGUGCCAGCAGCCGCGGUAAUACGGAGGAAGCGAGCGUUAUCCGGAGUUAUUGGGUUUAAAGGGUGCGCAGGAGGGAGAUCAAGUCAGCGGGAAAAUGUCGGGGCUAAACCCCGGCCGGCCGUUGAAACUGGUUGUCUAGAGUGGGAGAGAGGUAUGCGGAAUUCGUGGUGUAGCGGUGAAAUGCAUAGAUAUUACGAAGAACUCCGGUUGCGAAGGCAGCAUACCGGCUCCAUACUGACGCUGAGGCGCGAAAGCGUGGGGAUCGAACAGGAUUAGAUACCCGGGUAGUC
RNAcentral lists this ribosomal RNA (459 nucleotides) under uncultured bacterium. Its description in RNAcentral is "partial 16S ribosomal RNA". It matches the Rfam family "Bacterial small subunit ribosomal RNA", at positions 338 to 795 of the family's 1533-position model. The record is from RNAcentral.